GAAACAGUUGCUAAGACUGGAUAGGAAAUAAAAAGGCAUCUUUUUAUUUUUAAAAGACCUUUUUCGGAAGGUAUGCUUAAAGAGGGGCUUGCGUCACAUUAGUUAGUUGGCAGGGUAAAGGCCUACCAAGACUAUGAUGUGUAGCUGGACUGAGAGGUUGAACAGCCACAUUGGGACUGAGACACGGCCCAAACUCCUACGGGAGGCAGCAGUAGGGAAUUUUCGGCAAUGGAGGAAACUCUGACCGAGCAACGCCGCGUGAACGAUGAAGUAUUUCGGUAUGUAAAGUUCUUUUAUUGAAGAAGAAAAAAUAGUGGAAAAACUAUCUUGACGAUAUUCAAUGAAUAAGCCCCGGCAAACUAUGUGCCAGCAGCCGCGGUAAUACAUAGGGGGCGAGCGUUAUCCGGAAUUAUUGGGCGUAAAGGGUGCGUAGGCGGUUUAAUAAGUCUAUAGUUUAAUUUCAGUGCUUAACACUGUCCUGCUAUAGAAACUAUUAGACUAGAGUGAGAUAGAGGCAAGUGGAAUUCCAUGUGUAGCGGUAAAAUGCGUAAAUAUAUGGAGGAACACCAGAGGCGUAGGCGGCUUGCUGGGUCUUUACUGACGCUGAGGCACGAAAGCGUGGGGAGCAAACAGGAUUAGAUACCCUGGUAGUCCACGCCGUAAACGAUGAGUACUAAGUGUCGGGAUUACUCGGUACUGAAGUUAACACAUUAAGUACUCCGCCUGAGUAGUACGUACGCAAGUAUGAAACUUAAAGGAAUUGACGGGACUCCGCACAAGCGGUGGAUCAUGUUGUUUAAUUCGAAGAUACACGAAAAACCUUACCAGGUCUUGACAUACUCUGCAAAGCUAUAGCAAUAUAGUGGAGGUUAUCAGGGAUACAGGUGGUGCAUGGUUGUCGUCAGCUCGUGUCGUGAGAUGUUAGGUUAAGUCCUAAAACGAGCGCAACCCUUGUCAUUAGUUGCCAGCAUGUCAUGAUGGGCACUUUAAUGAGACUGCCAAUGAAAAAUUGGAGGAAGGUGAGGAUCACGUCAAAUCAUCAUGCCCCUUAUGAUCUGGGCUACAAACGUGAUACAAUGGCUGUUACAAAGAGUAGCUGAAACGCAAGUUUAUAGCCAAUCUCAUAAAAGCAGUCUCAGUUCGGAUUGAAGUCUGCAACUCGACUUCAUGAAGUUGGAAUCGCUAGUAAUCGCGAAUCAGCAUGUCGCGGUGAAUACGUUCUCGGGGUUUGUACACACCG
RNAcentral lists this ribosomal RNA (1240 nucleotides) under Sugarcane whiteleaf phytoplasma. Its description in RNAcentral is "bacterial SSU rRNA". It matches the Rfam family "Bacterial small subunit ribosomal RNA", at positions 153 to 1392 of the family's 1533-position model. The record is from RNAcentral. Lineage: Bacteria; Bacillati; Mycoplasmatota; Mollicutes; Acholeplasmatales; Acholeplasmataceae.